UUUGUUCUGCUGAGACGCUGCCUCUUUGACAGUGAUGAUGAGGUUCGUGAUAGGGCAACACUUUAUCUUAAUACACUUGGUGGUGAUGGUCAAGUUGUUGAAACUGAUAAAGACGUACAAGCCUUUCUCUUUGGUCCACUAGAUAUCCCGCUAGUUAACCUGGAGACAAGUUUGGAAGAACCUUUUGAUAUUAAUUCUGUGCCAAAGGAAGUUAAGUCUCAGCCACUUGCAGAGAAGAAAGCCCCAGGCAAGAAGCCGACUGGUCUUGGUGCACCUCCAGCUGGUCCUCCAUCUACUGUUGAUGCUUAUGAAAGACUUCUUUCCUCCAUCCCAGAGUUCUCAAACUUUGGGAAGCUUUUCAAGUCUUCGGCACCUGUGGAGCUUACAGAGGCAGAGACGGAAUAUGCUGUUAAUGUUAUUAAGCACAUUUUUGAUGGCCAUGUUGUGUUCCAGUUCAAUUGCACCAACACAAUACCAGAGCAAUUACUAGAAAAUGUUAUUGUUAUUGUGGAUGCUUCUGAAGCAGAGGAAUUCUCUGAGGUAGCAUCCAAGCCUUUAAGAUC
This 563-nucleotide unclassified non-coding RNA is filed under the name Hevea brasiliensis (rubber tree). The record is from RNAcentral. Lineage: Eukaryota; Viridiplantae; Streptophyta; Magnoliopsida; Malpighiales; Euphorbiaceae.